GCAGUGAACCUCGAGAACGAACCGAGUCCCAGAUUGGCCAGGCGGAGGUCCCACGCUGGCGUCACCACUCGAGGGACGAGGCGCCGCGCGGUCACGUGGAUAUCUGAAUUGCGCGUUAAUCACCUCAGUAAUUGAACACCGGUGUCAUUAGUUUGUGUAGUGGUCGUUAAUUGUACUUUGCAGUAGUGCAGGCAAAGGAAGCGUUAGACUCUCUAGCUUCCAUGGAGCUGACUUUGCCGUGGGUACUGAGCGCUGGCAGCAGGGAGUGUGGUGCUGGAGGCCUGGUGUUCCCUGUCUGAUUUACUCCGUGGCGACGCCGGACAGCAGUAGGAGCGAGACCCGUGAUGUUCCUCCAGCUUGCACAAUACAAAUGAUCGAGAUUGACAUUUUUCUAUCUGUUGAGCGGCAGACGGCGCGGACAGAAGGAAUGACAGAAACUCCUCGCCUCUUCUCUCCUGCAGCACAGCCAGGAGGACACUGGGGAAUAAAUCCUUCACCACGCAGCUUUAAUGUAAACCUUAAAAGGAUGCGUCGUAAUCUUUAUCCUGGAAUCCUAUCUUCGUCGUCUUUGUCCUCCUUGCCUCAGCCCAGACCAUCUAGUGUCUCUUGCUUCAGAUGAGGCUGUGCAGUUUGUCACAUAAAUAAGUUUACUGCUGUUUGUUGUUCUUGUUUCGUGAUUAUUUUGUUUCUUGUCCUUGCUCAUUCGUCUCCUUUUCCUUGUCCUCUUCUACCUUCUCCUCCUCCUCCUCGUGUGUGUGUGUGUGUGUGUGUGUUUAUUUUGGUUGUGUUUCUUUGUGUUUCUCUCCUCCAUCUCCUCCCACACACACACACACACACACACACACACACACACACACACACACACACCAGAUAUCGUAGGGGACUACAGAGGAAAGAAGGCUGAGGUGCAGAGGUGUGCAAGACUGUUUAUGUGGAAAUAAAUGGCAAGGUAGUGGGCGUCCCUGCGCGGACACUGGGGCUGGCCACUCCAGGGAGGUUGGAGGAUGCAGGAAAGUGUUUAGGGGUCGUACUUUCAAGACUCUUUUCUCAUCAGGACAGUUUUCAAAGGAAUUAGUUGGGUUUUCAUGGAUUUUUUUCUUGUAUUUUGUCACUAAUGUUAAAUUAUUGAGGAGCAAAAAAAGAAAUUGUUUUUAGAACGAGAGGAAAGACGAGAGAAGGAACACAAUAAAACAUAAGAGAAUAAAUUCAUAUGUUUGUGUAAUAAACUAUACUAUUUCAUCUGAAGUAAGUGUGUGCUUCCUCAGUGAUUGGUGCUUCACGUACGCCUCACGAUGAGGAAUAAAAAAGAAUUCCAAAUUAGAUUAAAAAA
Long non-coding RNA from Scylla paramamosain (green mud crab), 1330 nucleotides. RefSeq lists it as uncharacterized. The transcript is spliced from 2 exons. The record is from RefSeq and is a predicted model, not a curated record. Lineage: Eukaryota; Metazoa; Arthropoda; Malacostraca; Decapoda; Portunidae.